Molecule: non-coding RNA, 739 nt
Organism: Cajanus cajan (pigeon pea)
Lineage: Eukaryota; Viridiplantae; Streptophyta; Magnoliopsida; Fabales; Fabaceae
Source: RefSeq, a predicted model, not a curated record
GCAAAUGAUAUUUUGUUAUAAUCUUAUUGCAAAAGUAUAAGUUGCUACUAUAUUUCUCAGCUAUAUAGUAGUUUUUGACAAUUUUCUCCUUUUGUGCAGGGGAUUUUAACUUGAACAAUUUUGAAGAUGGAGUUUUAUCAUUUGUUUUUAUGAUUGAACAAUUUUUGUUGAGCAGUUAAAACAAUAGUACGUACCAAAUAUAAUAAUUUUCUUAUGUUUUAUAUAUUCUUCUCGUGCCUAUCAUGUGUAUGAGGAUGUGCAAGGGAUCAAAGACACCUUGUCAAUUGUGAAAGGUGUGUUGUUGGAUGCUAAGGAGAAGAGGGAGCAGAAGCAUGGGUUGCGUGAAUGGCUCAGGCAGAUUCAAAACGUAUGCUUAGAUGCUGAAGAUAUAUUGGAUGGAUUUCAGUGCCAAAACUUAAGAAAGCAAGUUGUCAAAGCUUUAGGCAACACCAGAAUGAAUGAAAAAGAAAUAUCUUUUUGGCAGCCAAUGAUAUGCUUCUAUUCAUGCUGAAAUGGUACGAGAAGUUUCCUUCCUACAGAUCAAGGGAGCUGUUUCUUACUGGAGAAAGCUAUGCAGGACAUUAUAUACCACAGUUAGCUAAUGCUAUUUUGGACCACAAUGCUAAUUCAGCUGGUUUCAAAUUCAAUAUUAAAGGAGUUGCUGUAAGAUCCCUUUCAUGUGAUAUCUUUUUGGCAUUAUUUUACUCAUUUAUUUUUGCGUUGCUUUUAGACUAGUCUC